GAGGCUGGGGGCGGGGUCGCAGGGUGAAGGGCGGGGUCGCAGGGGCGCAGCCGCGGAGAUCCGGGGGACUCGGCGGACCCGGACUCCGUGCGGUGGGAACGGUUACCUUGCCCGCUUGGGUGGCGGCUGCCAGGCACGGCUUGAAAGGAAUGAAUCUCUAACAGAUCAUUUCGGGCCAUCAGUUUUCGGACAGUCUCCAUAUGCCGGGCAGUGUUCAAGGACCUAUGAAAACAGCGGUGGACAAAAAAUGUGUAAUUGGUGCCCCUGUGGAGUUUACAACCUAGAGGAGCCACCAUCUGAGGCAGAUUCUAUCAUCAUCCCCAUUUUACAAGAAUGGAAACAGUCACAGCAGGUUGGAUCACCCAAGCCUGAGAACACACGGCUGUCAUCUCUACACCUAACAUGGGGCUCAAACUCACAACCCUGAGAUCAAGACGCACGUGUUCUACCAACUGAGCCAGCCAGGCGCCCCUAAGAAUUCUAGCACAGGCUUUCGUGCCCAGCCAGGCUGUUGUGACCACCCCUCCCGUUCUCACGCUGGACUUCCCAGACCUGAGCUGCAAGAAGACAAGAGGUCAGUAACCCUGCAAGCACUGAGGAGGCGCCCAGCUCUGUCAUCAACUCAUCUACCACACAGAAAAUGACUGUGGUGGCUAAUUAUUCUUCUCUACAACCCUCAAACUCUUGUCUUUGUUUUUUUCCUCCAUAACUUUAAUUGGGAAUGAUCUGAUUAUCUUCAGAGAACCAUGUAUAUCCUGGAGUAAUCCACAAAUGGAAUAGUGCACUAUGGUCCCGAGUUAUUAGCGGAAUCCGGACAGGGGGGAAGGGGCUGGAUGGUUGCAGGCUUGGUCCCUCUCCCCGAGACACCUGUUCAGACAGAAGUUCACAGACAUCACCACCCCGCCAAGACUGUGGAACUGGAAGAAGCUUUGGGGGUCUGGUGAGCCCACUGUUGGCAGAGCUCACUGCAGGGACUGCAGGUCCUGAUCUGCUAUAUUCCCACCCAUCUCUUUGGAGGAAAAGCAUGGCCAAAAAGUGCCUGCAGACAGUGAACAAUUAAUGAAGUUUCUGGAAAAAGUGGCUUUGAUCCCAAUGCUUUAAAUACAAACUGCUUUUCUGGGACUUUGGCUGAGGGGGUCGCCCCUCCAGAAAUCAUAGAGCCAGGCAUCUUCCCAACAGCUGUCUCUUUACCAAUUCCCAGAACAGAAUGGGGAGGGACCGAAUGGUGAUCUAGCUAUGGACACCUCCUCGGCAUUUUGGGGAAACUGAGGCCCCGGCAGAGAAGUGCACUUGUGGGUGAGUGACACCAGCGAGUGAAUUUAGAGGACUCCAUUGCCCUGAGUCCCAGGCCAGUCUUUGUGCCUUAGGAGAGAGAAAAUACAAGAGAAAAAGUGAGAUGUGUGAAGGCAGAGAGGAAUGAGAGAAGAGGAGGAGGAGAAAGGACACGAAGGGGAAGGAAUGCAGAGUGAGAGAAGACAGGGAGGGGAGAGGCAUGCGCAGGACAGACACCCUGCUUUAUUUCACCGCGCGGGCACGUGGUUCUGUGAUGCCCGCCAGUGGUCUUUCUUCUCGGCAUUUCGGCUCCCCAAUUAUACCAUAAAACCUUCUUUGUACCCCUGGGUGAGGCAUCUGGCAUCAUGUGAGGCCCUAAGCGGUUGCUUCAUCCGAGCAGGUGGUUCUAGGAAUGGCCACACUUGAUAGUCCAAAUAGGAGGUUUCCAAAGCCCAGGGAGGUUUUUUUCCUCAAUGUAUCACUUCACCCAGCUGAUCUGCACCUGGGAGUGUGGGGGGGGGGGUGGAUGAUAGGCGAGGCACUUCCCCGCUCAGAGCCUCAGGCUCUCUAUCUGUAAAUGGGUUUGAGAUGGAGAGGUUGUUUGGACCACAUUAUUGCCCUUACAGCCCUGGCGUUGUAGAAUUAUGUUAAUUCCAGUUCUUCUGCUUCCCUCUUUCUUCAGGUAUUUCUGAGAGGCAUUACAGGGCAAAUCCAGAACCCCUUACUAUAAAUACAUUUCAAUGGGAAGGAAGGGUUUCUAAACAAAGGGGAUAAAGCGCAGAAGCCUAAAAUGAAUUCUGCCGACUUGACCAUUCCCCCAGGGGGCUGAGUGACUGCAGAGAAAUCAAAGGCUCAGGAUGCUCCAGGCUGCCCCUCCACUCCCCACCAGACCCUGAGUGUCCUUCCUGGGGACAUACCAGAAUGUUCAUCUUCUUCAUCACCCAAGGUCACUUUGAGCCCUCUGAGUGGGGAAAUUAUUAAAAACCAGUGACAUGGAAAGACAGAUGCAGGCCGUGUGGCAGAGAAAGUGAUAUAAACUGGUCCCAACAUCAGAUCAGUUAGUGCGAUGCCCCACCGAGCUAUCGUGGAAUGCAGUGUGUUAGCAAGAAUACUGGACCAUGGAGAGGCGACCCAAAUAGCCAAAAAUCUUUUUUUUUUUUUUAAAGAUUCCACCUAUUUAUUCAUGAGAGACAGAGGCAGAGGGAGAAGCAGGCUCCCCGCGGCGCAGGGAGCCCGAUGCGGGACUCGAUCCCAGGACCCCGGGAUCAUGACCUGAGCCGAAGGCAGACACUUAACCAACUGAGCCACCCAGGCGUCCCCCAAAAAUCUUUUUUUUUUUUUUAAAGAUUUUAUUUAUUUAUUUGACAGAUAGAGAGACAGCUAGACAGGGAACACAAGCAGGGGGAGUGGGAGACAGAGAAGCAGGCUUCCCACCGAGCAGGGAGUCCGAUGCGGGGCUCGAUCCCAGGACCCUGGGAUCAUGACCCGAGCCGAAGGCAGACGCCCAACGACUGAGCCACCUAGGUGCCCCUAGCCAAAAAUCUUAUAAUAGUCUGCUCAGCCUCAGUAGCAAUUAGGGAAGUGUAAAUCAGUAACCAAGGAAAUGCCAUUUCUUACCUGUCAGACUGAUGAAAAAUAAGUCUGACAAUAUCAAGUGUUAACAAGGACAAGGACACUCAGGGAGGACAUUGGUCAUAGGAGUGUAAACUUUUGGUGAGCAAUUUGAGAAUAUCUAGGAAGGUAGAAUAAGCACAUGACCUUCCAUCCAGCAAGUCUGCUCCCAGCUUUACCCCCAGAGAAACUCUAGCACAUGUCACAAUCUAGCACAUAUAUGUGGCAAUCCAUCGCAGCAAUGUUCAUAAUAAUGGAAAAGGGGAAACGCCUAAAUGCUCAUCAACAGGGAAAAGGAUCGAACUGUGAAAUAGUCUUGUAAAUAAAUCAUAAAUUUCAAAAUACUGGACAAAAAGAGCAAAAAAAAAAAGUUGUAAAAGGCUCCAUGGAGAAUGAUGCCAUUUUAUAUGAGGUUUACAAACUUGUAAAACAAGACCAUGUAAUUUUUAUAGGUACAUAUAUAUGUAGUAAAAGUAGAAAAGCAUGCAUGGGCAUGGUAAACACUUGGAGAAAUUAGUUCUCGGGUCUGGUGGUGGGGUCGGAACAAGAUAUGGGAAGUUUACAUGGGAGGUUUCCACUCUCUUUGUUUUGUUCUUUAAGUCAUUGAAAUGAAUAGGACUUAAUGUUAAUAUUUGCUAACACUGGAAGUUUCCAUAUUUGACUUUCUAUUCUUAUCUGUUUUUUAGAUCAUUCAGAAUAUAAAUAAUUAUCUUAAAAAGAGAGAAAACAAGGACGGUCAUUGGGCCAGAGUUCUCAUUGAGAUUUCAGGGCCGUGUGCAAAGCAGAGGGUUUCACUUGCCCAGUGGGUACUGAAUUACAGCCCUGGAGCUGGAGUCCUAUGUAAUUAACCAGCAGCCGCAAGCUCUGGAGAGUCUGUGAAGUCUGCCGAGCACGCAGAGUGUGAAAGGCUGCUGAGAAGCCCACGAUCAGUAUGAGAACAACUAGACCAUGGCUCACCACCAUCUGGAGGUUAAUGGCCAAAGAAGCUGGGAGGCAGGGACAUGCAAAUUACACUGCUGUGAGCAGGGAAGAAACAGAGCCUGGCUGCAGGACUCCAGAUCUCAAGCUCUUGACGGCUCUUGCUGAGCAACAGGUUCCUCUCAUCUCCUCUACAAGAGCCAGAGAAGACAGCCUAGAUGUAAGUCUGUGAACUGAGCCGUUUAUUCAUCGUCAGCCCAUAACUAUUUACUGGGCAUUCAUUGUGUGGCAGCACUCAGUGAGUCUGGCCACAGGGAUGCUGAGAGUAAUAAGCUCAGCCUUUGUUCUUGCGAAGCGUGUUGUCUAGAGAGAGAGGUCAGUAUCUAAACCAGCAUAAUAAAACCAAUGGCUCCAGGCUGCUCCUGGGGUCGGGGGGGGGGGGGGGGGCGGUGCACGUAUGUCCAGAGAGUCCUGGGUGGGAAAAGAUGGUGAUUCCCAGGUGCAAAACAUGGACCAGGGUGUGUGUGGAGUCAUGGCACAGGGCUUUUCUCUGACCUCAUCGCCUGGCCGAACCUCCAUUCCUGAGCCAUGAGUCCCAGAAACUUUCUUACAAAAAUACGCUGGGCUCAGGAACGUGUAUUUAGCUUUUACCUUGUUGCGAGUGGGGGAGACUACAGAAACCCUGUCAUUUCAUGUGUUGUAAGCCAGGGGUAUUGGCUGCUUCUUUGGAGCAACCCGUUUGAUUGUUCUGAGAAGAACACUUGACAUAUGCACAAAAGUCAAAAGAGGCCAUACCUGGACAAGGAGAUAUUUAGGACUGGCUCAAAGGAGCUCCAGCUACUGUGGGAUAAGGAGAGAGCUGCUACAGGCUGGACUGCUUUUCUGCAGGGAAGUUCUUACUUUGGGAGCCCUUGGGUAUGGCGCCUGGGUGGGAGGUGGGUUCACCAAUGAGAUUUAAGAGAUGCACAAACCUCUGAACUUGUGGGGGAAAUGUAUUUUGUGCUUUUUUUUUUUUCUGGGUAGAGGAUCGAGAGCUUUCAUCAGAUUUUCCUAGGGCUCCUUGAAUACCCCAAGAAAGCGAAGAAUCACAUCUUUGACAAUUAAUUAAUACUUCUUUGAAAUAUUAAUUUUCUUCUUUUUUUUUUUUUUGAUUUUAUGUAUUUGUUUGAGAGAUGGGGCAGGGAGUAGCAGAGGAAAAGAAAGAAGCAGACUCCCUGCUGAGCAGGGAGCCCAGAAGUUCUAGGGAGGACAAAGGCAUUGUAUUGUAUGCAGGACUCGAUCCCAUGACCUGAGCGGAAGGCAGGUGCUUAACUGACUGAGCCACUCAGGUGACCCUGAAAUACUAAUUUUCUAAGUGCACGUUUAAGCUACACCUGCAGCAAUUGCACAUUCUUGGGGUGGUGUGUGUAUUUUUGGUUCUAUGAUCCAUGCAAAGAUCUGGAGCUGAGACCCAGAAGACAGGCAAAAGGGCAAAAGGGACCUGUGGGUGUGCUUCCCCAGGCACUGGAAGAAGGACUGUGUAACAGGGACAGGAUAGCCUGGGGCAGAGUUCAACAUGAUCUUGACUGCCCGAUGCUACACGGGGUCGUUUCAAUCUGCGCAGCCCAGAACCUGGGAAAUAGCUUCAUGCUACCUACGGGGUUGAAUUUUGAGAUUUUCAUUCCGCUGGGGCCUUAAGCAACAUCACAGUGUCAAUCAUCUGAGGACGAAGCCAUUCCUGGCUCAGAGAGGAAGGAGGGAAGAGAGUUGGUUUGGACGAAGGUGAAGGAAAAUCCCUUCCUUGCUCUGGGCUCAUGCGUUGGGCUAGACCUUCUAAGGCAUUGAUGUCUGCUGCAGGACACACACAGAAGAGGUGGGGGGAGGCUGGUCCUGCCAAGACGUGGGUCGGAACUGGGCUGGGAAUGCGGGCCCAGGAGGACGAAACCAGCCUCUGAACUCUGAGAGCAGCCCUGCCCAGGCAGAGAUUUCCUGGGAUGUCCUCCUGACCUUCUCAACUACAAGCUCUGGUGUUACUCACCCUUCGCUCCCCAGUACCCAGCACAGUACUGGCCCUUAGAAGGAGGUGAAUGAAUGGAAUGUGCCUCGAUCCCCUAGAAGGCUGUGAACUCCUUGCAGGCAGGGCCUUUUUAUGGAUCAGUACAAGAUUGCCCCUACCCAUCCUCCCUGUGCUUUGCUGAUGCCCAUAGGGCUGAAUGCCUUUGUCCUCCCUAGAACUUCUCAGCUCAAACCCAUGCUUCCAGCAGUCCUUCUGGAUAAGUGAUAGAGACCCCAGCAAUUUACUAAUGGAAGGAGCUAUCACCAUUGGUUCUGGCCAUGCCCCAUCUCUUUUGCCUUUCGGCACAGUGACAGUAUUUUUCAGUAGAGGUCCUCAGUACCCACAUGCAGGAGCCUUGUGCAUUUAUUUGUCCAUUUAUCACUCACUCACUCGUUCAUUUGUUCACUCCCAUGCCCACUCACGUGCUCACUCAUGUCUUCAGUCAUCUGACUAUUCGUCUCAUUCAUUCAUUCAUCUCCUAAACUUGCAGACCACUGCAGAAUCGAGAUGCUUCAGACAACAGGUCUUGCCUCUUAGAGCUCCGAGGUUGGGGCACGGAGCACAAGAGCCAUGAACACACACAGUGGAGGAAAAAGUAGUGAACUGCAUGAGAGAGACACAAACAGGCCACUGAGGGGUCACAGAAGGAAAGGUUUCUUCCAGUCGAGAAAGGGCGAAUCAGAGACAGCUUCCUGGAGCAAGGCUCAGCAGCAGCAGCUCCAGAAUUUCUACAUGGGGAGCGGGUGAGGGUGGCAGCUUUUGGAGGCAGCUUGAAGCGGCGUCAUCAGGAGGGUUUGUUCCGUAAGACUGAAUAUCUGUCAGCUGCCUGAUCAUGAUGAGACUGGGGGGCUUCAUUCUCCCCCAGCGCCCCCCCACCUUGCUUCUCCCACCCAAGAAAUGGCAUUUGACUCAUGCCUCAGUAAAUGAGGAGCAUUUAUCUGGACUCAAGGUGGUAGGGAAAGGAUGAACACCUGACAGGAGCAAAAGCCUGGAUGUGGAAAAGCUCAAGGCCAAGUACAGGGAGCCUGGAGUCCUUAGGUUUUGGUGGAACAGGUAGAAGGAAGGAGUGGACAGUGACCUUGGAAAGGUAAGUUGAGCUUGGAAUGCAAGACUAAGGUGUUUGGGCUUCAUUCAGCAGAUUGUGGGAGCCACUGAAGGUUUUGAGCAAGAAAAUAACAUGGCCAAUGCUAUUUGGGGGCUCGAUCUCUGGGGCAAGGUGGAGAAUGAAAAGGAGCAGGCAAGACCACAGGAGGCUGGUUCCAGGCCCCUCCUAAUGUUGGGGGUGGGUGGCAGAGCAAGAGUGUAAAUGAAGGUUCACAUGUCACUGCAAAUAUCUAAAAGUUAUAAAUCAAAUGAACACAUAAAAUACUUUCUAUCCCCCUACCCUGACAAAGAGAGCUUCAUAGCAACCUGAAGGGCCAGGUUCAAUGUUUAAUUCUCAAAUCUUCACACCGGAAGGUGCCGAGAGAUCUGCCCCAUGGCCCCAACCUCCAGUCUGGGGCCCACAUCCAGUCUUUUUCCAUCCCUUCCUCCUUCCCUCACUGUGAGAGGCCUCACGCACGCCUGUGGGCACCAAGCCCACACAUCCAAACUGUUCAUACCCCCAGCACACAGCUACCUCCAGCCACGCUUCAGCCCUAGAGGGACACACAUUGGCUGAGCAUCUACCCUUCGGAGCCUGGGGCAGAGGUCUGAGCAAACCUUUGGAAGCAGGCUGGCUUGGGAUGAGAGAAAAUUCCAGAAGCCAGAGCAUUACAUGUGUGUGGUCUAGAAGGAGAGGUUGCACACUGCCCCUGAUUUUUGUCCUUCUCACCCAGGGAGUCUGGGGGACAUGCCAAGAGAAGGCCUGAGUGGGACGUUCUAAAGCCCAAGACCCCAGAUAGGGGCCCCCUUCUGCCCACGGUAAGGGCUUUCAUGACCAGGGGAAACAGAAUAAGGCCCUGAGCCAGGCCCUGUGAAGGAGGGAGCAGAAAUGGCAGAUUGCAGAGGACUUGGAAACCGGACA
Molecule: RNA transcript, 7841 nt
Organism: Mirounga angustirostris (Northern elephant seal)
Lineage: Eukaryota; Metazoa; Chordata; Mammalia; Carnivora; Phocidae
Gene name: metallothionein-4
Exons: 8
Source: RefSeq, a predicted model, not a curated record